Molecule: ribosomal RNA, 253 nt
Filed under: uncultured bacterium
Lineage: Bacteria
Description: partial 16S ribosomal RNA
Rfam family: Bacterial small subunit ribosomal RNA
Source: RNAcentral
GACGUAGGUGACGAGCGUUAUCCGGAAUUACUGGGCGUAAAGCGCGUGCAGGCGGCUUCGCAAGUCGGGCAUGAAAUCUCUCGGCCUAACCGAGAGACGCUGUCCGAUACUGCGGAGCUUGAGGGCAGUAAAAGGUGGCGGAAUUCCGCAUGUAGUGGUGAAAUGCGUAGAGAUGCGGAGGAACACCAGUGGCGAAGGCGGCCACCUAGGCUGUCCCUGACGCUGAAGCGCGAAAGCUAGGGUAGCGAACGGG